AAAAUUACAUAGUUAACAAAUACUUUGUGAUUGAAAGUACAAGUCUUAUUGUGUUGGAUAUUUUCAAUAAAUAAAAAAGACAUUUCUACUGAAGACUGAAUUAGGCAGAUUCAGGGUUUAUGCACAUUUUGACUAAUACAUUUCCAUAACUUUUAUAGAUGUUUGUGAUUACUGCAAAAGCAUAUGUAUUUUUUUUUUUUAAAGAAUAUAAAAAUGGCCUGAUAUUUUAAAACAACUUAAAGGUUUUGACUUUCUGAGCCUCAAUGCAGAGCAAAAACAGAAACAUUUACAUUCACUGUAGAGAUUUCCAUUGAUUUCCAGACCUGGAAAUUUUUUAAUUAAAAAAUCUGAAGAGAGACUGAAUUUAAAGUCAGUGGAUUUCACAAUAUUCAUGAUUCAUCAGAAAAUAAGGUAAAAAUGGGAGCAGUUUCAAAAGGUGCUAUUGGGUACCUUAUUUACCCUUAAAGGUGCAUAUUAGUACUUGAAGGUAUAUUAAUAUCUAAAGUGUACGUAUUAGUACCUAAAUUCAUAUAGCACUAUUUGAAAGUGUGCCGCCCCGGUGACAGCUUUUGUACCUUUUUUUUGUGACAGUUACUGUAUUGCUCUAAAAUGGAAAAAAAAUUAAACCAUAAAAAAAUUUUAACUUACCAGUCAGACUCAUCCAAUACAAACAGAACAAAACAAACAUGUGAAGCAUUUUCUUCAUUCGUUCAGCAUCUGCUUUAAUAAAACUAUCUGCUGAAAUCAUUCAAGCGUAUAUGAAUCCUCCCACAAGAAUUUGACCCUCCUGUUCACUCGCUGCAUUUGCACACUUACUUAAAAAAGUAUCCAGUAACGUAAUCCAAGCACCACAAUAUGAAAGUAAUGUAAUCUGAUUACUUUUGGUUUCCUUCAAGUCACAUAUGUAAAUAAACCAUUGUGAUUUUAAAAUUGUGUAUAUUUAUUCAGUUCUCAAUUUUAGUCUGAAAAAAAGUACAAAGUUCAAAUCGUGUCUGAUCUCUCUGUGCUAGUUUUAGUGUCGUUCAGUCAAACUGAAACCUGCUGCGGUGGUUUUUCUUCAGAAAUGUGGUUUGAGCUGGACGAACAUCUUGAAGAGAUAGUGUAUUCAGAUCAGGUGUGACAGUGUUCGUUUGUAGGUGAUGAGUUUCUUCCUGAUUCUUUGAACUGAAACAUGAGAAACUGCAUUUGACACAGAGACAGAAACACAAUCAUCAUAUUUAACACUGACAUUCACAAGUUUAAUCUGAAAGUUAUUAUUAUUAUUUUGUUUUUUAAGUUAAUAUAUGGGUCAAUGACAUGACAGGUCAGUUUUUGUCCAAAGGCCUUAAUAAUAAUAAAGAACAAAGAUAUGACAUCCAAAGUAUGUAAGGUAGUGCAACAAGAUCUCUUUUAUUGAAUCCAAAAGGUUUUAAUUAUAUUUUGCUACAUAUAAAGGUAUUUUAAAAGAUUUUGAAGUGUCAAAAGGUCAUUCGGUUUAACCGUCCAAAGGCCAAUACAGCCAUUUCAUUAGUGAUUAAAAUAUCUUAAAAUGUAAUAAAUGUAUGUAUUUUUUAUUCUGGCAUGAUUUUAUAACAUCAUAUAUUAACAUAGUGCGAAAUGGUAUUAAAAUUAUGUGUAGAAGUCGUUGCUUUGCUAUGAGAGAGAAUAUCCGGAAAAAUGAAUUUCAUUGAUGUCAUUCAGAGUAACCAAUAUAAAGGGACCGUUUUGGAUCAAGUCAUGCGUUCAAUAUCAUGUGACAGGAUGUGACAUCAUUCAGACACCUGCAAAGGACCACAUGGUUGUGAAGCAAAGUAACUAACUCUCUCUUAACUACUUGAAAAAUUCAUGUUUUCACUUGCUCAUACGCAUGUCCCAAAACAUCAGGUCAUUCGGUACAACCGCUAUAAAACAUGGAAAAUGUUGUAAUAUUUUAAAAACUCAUUUUAUUCAUUACGCUCCGAAUCUUCCUGAAGCAGUGUUUUGAAAUCGGCCAUCACUAAAUAAUUCAUUAUUUUGUUUUUUUUGGCACACCAAAAAUAUUCUCGUCGCUUUAUAAUAUUAAUAUUGAACCACUGUACUCACAUGAACUGAUUUAAAUAUGUUUUUAGUACCUUUAUGGAUCUUGAGAGAGGAAAUGCCAUUGCUCCCUAUGUAGGCCUCAUGGAGCCAUCGGAUUUAAACAAAAAUAUCUCAAUUUGCGUUCCGAAGAUCAACGAAGGUCUUACGGGUGUAAAACGGCACAAGGGUGAGUAAUUAAUGACAGAAUUUUCAUUUUUGGGUGAACUAACACUUUAAUAUUCCAAAAGAAGUGAAGUCUUAUUUUAAACACUAGAUGGCGCUCACUAGCACUUUUUCAAUUGAAUUAACCCCUGCUGUUAGAUUCAACUACACCAUUAUGUAGAGGAAAAUUGAUUGUUUCUACAUUUGUAACUAUUCAGCUGUAGUGUUGUAGACCUACCAGUGUUAUGUUUCACCAGUGACACUUUUGUGGAGGCUUUUAAUAUGGACUAUGUGUUUUUCAUAUGUAAAUCACUAGACUAGUGAUCAUCAAAUUCUUUUAACAGUUUAUUUUACAGACUUUAAGUUUACCACUUUUUUUCACAACACCUUUGCUCUCUAGAAACAAUGUCAGUUUGGGUUAAAAUUCUUCGAAUUACUGAAUUAAUACCAAUAUAUGAAAUUAGGGACAUGCAUCAGAAAAAUGGACAAAUAUAUAUAUAUAUAGUACAAGGAAUAUAACUUGAUAGUAAACUGUUUUUGCAGUGUUGUCUUAUAUUAAUGUCAUUUUGUCAUGUGUAUCUGUUGUUCAUUUGGCAUUUCACCCCAAAAUGGCGGCCGCUCUACCGAAGCGCCUCCUAGUGGCUGUUACCAAAAAAGCAUCAGAGUUGGCCUCUUAGCUUCUCUUUGGUCAAGCUUCACCACAACAAAGACCAAACUAAGUAAAAACUGCGAUUGAGAAGUGGUGGAUCCAAAAUGGUCAAUAUUUAUACAUUUUUAUUCAGAUUUCAUGUUAAUCAUUUAUGGCUUAUGAUUAUCACAUUAUCUUUGAUUUCAUAUAUUCAGGUACUCCUACUCCAUAUAUUAAUCCUCAUCAUAUUUUCAAGUAUUUACUCUUUAUUGUGCUCAUUUAUGGUUAUUCUUCAUUGUAUCUUCUUUUAUCUUUAAGAGUAUGCUUGCUAUAUUCAAUUGUUCUUCAAGUGUUUCAGCGGGACAAGUUAUAUUGGCACAUUUGUGGCUAUAUUGGAUGCCUUCCAAAAACUGCAGAAGCAAUGAAGUUUUCAGAAUUUGUUGCUCAUUUGAACUUGAUGUACCUUUGAAUAAUGCAAGAUCUCUUAAAGGUGUCAAAACAAGACCUUCUGUAUCUAAUCUCAUCUAUCUUUUGACAUUUGACCAGUCACUCUGACCUAGCCGUUAACUAUGACAUAUGAUAUAAGUCUGUUUGACCUUUUCUUAUUAUACCAAAACAUAAGUUUAAGGGGGUGUAAGUACGUUUCCUGCAGUCGUUGCUCUUAUUUUGCUCUUCACUUCCUUUCUACUUAAUGCAUUUUGCUUCUCCUUCUACCUCUUCUCCUUUCAUUCUGCGGAGAUCUUCUUUCGUUCUUCCUUUCUCUAUGCUCUGAUCUUCACUCUUCAUCUGUUAUACAAUACUUUGGAUUUUCUUAUAAACUAUUAUUUACUUGAUUAAUUUGUUUGUCUCUAUAAUUUUACAUUUUUACUUACUAAAUUUGUUAUUCCUUAUUCAAAUUUGAUCUCUGACAUAAUCAUUGCUGGACUACCUGGAUCUCAUUGGAUCAGUUUUUGCAUCAAGAAGAUAGCACUUUUUAUUGAAUUUUGAAGUAUUUGUUUCAUGAACCAGUCCCACUUGUCACAGAACAGAUCACAGCCUUGGACAAAAUGUGUUGUUACUCAGUUUUGGAUAACAGUGCUGUUAAUACUGAAAAAAUUGUCUGUUAGCAGCGUUUCUCCCUUUUUUUACACACCAAAACUGAUGAAAACUAAAGAAAUUUUUUAACCAUCAAACAAAUGCAUGAUGUCACAAAUAUUACAACAGUGAAUCAUACAUUGAUUUAUUCUUAAAAUGACUAAAUUUAUACAAUGAAUAUAUUAAAAAGACAAAAACAAGGUCUUGAGAUGAUCUUAAUAUCAAUCUCAAUAUUAAUACUAUAGACUGCAGGAGUUUACUAUAAAAUGGUCACAGAUGGAUCUGGUAAAGACUGAAUCAUCUUCUCAUGCUGACAGACAUACUCCACGUGACUGUACUCUUCAGCUCUCUGUUAAAACAUCACACAAGAGAUAGUCAAAUAUUUUAAAUGGAAAAAACAUUCAGUGGUUUUUGCAAAAAAAUAUGAUCAAAUAUUAAACUAGUAAUAUUAGCAUGAACUGUGCAGACUUAAAGGUACAGUAUGCAAGUUUUGUCACUAGAGGUCGCUUAUUCAAAACAAUAACAAUCAGAUUUACUGUAGAUCUCUUAAACAAUUCAGAUUUCAAUAAUUACUGUAUAAAUAAAAUAAAAUCUACCACAAGUUUUAUAUACACUACCAUAUACUCUACGCUACCAUAAGUUUUAGAAUGGCAAAAUUUUUAAUGUUUUUAAAACAAGCCUUUUCUACUCACCAAGGCUGCGUUUAUUUGCUCAAAGACACACAAAAACAAUAAUAUUGUAUUUUUUUUACUAUUUAAAAUACCUGUUUUCUAUGUGAAUAUAUUGUAAAAUAUUAUUUAUUCCUGUGAUCAAAGCUGAAUUUUCAGCAUCAUUCCUCCAGUCUUCAGUGUCACAUGAUCCUUCAGAAAUCAUUCUGAUAUGAUGAUUUGCUGCUCAACAAAGAUUUCUGAUUAUUAUCAAUGUUGAAAACAGUACAUUUUUUGUACAUUUUUUAGGGUUCUUUGAUGAAUAGAAAGUUCAAAUGAACAGCAUUUAUCUGAAAUAGAAACUUUUGUAAUAUUAUGUCUUUA
Long non-coding RNA from Ctenopharyngodon idella (grass carp), 4932 nucleotides. RefSeq lists it as uncharacterized. NCBI's taxonomy places the organism in Eukaryota, Metazoa, Chordata, Actinopteri, Cypriniformes, Xenocyprididae. The transcript has 2 exons. The record is from RefSeq and is a predicted model, not a curated record.